GAUGAACGCUGGCGGCGUGCCUAAUACAUGCAAGUCGAGCGGAGCGGGGACGGGUGAGUAACACGUAGCUGCCCUCCUAUAAGCCUGGGAUAACUUCGGGACACCGGAGCUCAACCGGAUACUUCUAGCUAGAUCCGCGCUGCAUUAGCUAGUUGGUAAGGUAACGGCUUACCAAGACAACGAUGCAUAGCCGACCUGAGAGGGUGAUCGGCCACACUGGAACUGAGACACGGUCCAGACUCCUACGGGAGGCAGCAGUAGGGAAUAUUCCGCAAUGGGCGAAAGCCUGACGGAGCAACGCCGCGUGAGUGAUGAAGGUCUUCGGAUCGUAAAACGCUUUUAUUAGGGAAGCGGUACCUAAUCAGAAAGCCACGGCUAACUACGUGCCAGCAGCCGCGGUAAUAC
Molecule: ribosomal RNA, 405 nt
Filed under: uncultured bacterium
Lineage: Bacteria
Description: partial 16S ribosomal RNA
Rfam family: Bacterial small subunit ribosomal RNA
Source: RNAcentral